Molecule: ribosomal RNA, 476 nt
Filed under: uncultured bacterium
Lineage: Bacteria
Description: partial 16S ribosomal RNA
Rfam family: Bacterial small subunit ribosomal RNA
Source: RNAcentral
GACGAACGCUGGCGGCGUGCUUAACACAUGCAAGUCGAACGGUAAGGCCCUUCGGGGUACACGAGUGGCGAACGGGUGAGUAACACGUGGGUGAUCUGCCCUGCACUUCGGGAUAAGCCUGGGAAACUGGGUCUAAUACCGGAUAGGACCACUGCCUGCAUGGGUGGUGGUGGAAAGCUUUUGCGGUGUGGGAUGGGCCCGCGGCCUAUCAGCUUGUUGGUGGGGUGAUGGCCUACCAAGGCGACGACGGGUAGCCGGCCUGAGAGGGUGACCGGCCACACUGGGACUGAGAUACGGCCCAGACUCCUACGGGAGGCAGCAGUGGGGAAUAUUGCACAAUGGGCGCAAGCCUGAUGCAGCGACGCCGCGUGGGAUGACGGCCUUCGGGUUGUAAACCUCUUUCAGCACCGACGAAGCGCAAGUGACGGUAGGUGCAGAAGAAGGACCGGCCAACUACGUGCCAGCAGCCGCGGUAA